UACGUAGGGUGCGAGCGUUGUCCGGAAUUAUUGGGCGUAAAGAGCUCGUAGGCGGCCUGUCGCGUCGGAUGUGAAAGCCCGGGGCUUAACCCCGGGUCUGCAUUCGAUACGGGCAGGCUAGAGUGUGGUAGGGGAGAUCGGAAUUCCUGGUGUAGCGGUGAAAUGCGCAGAUAUCAGGAGGAACACCGGUGGCGAAGGCGGCAUCCUGGACCAACACUGACGCUGAGGAGCGAAAGCCAGGGGAGCAAACGGG
Molecule: ribosomal RNA, 253 nt
Filed under: uncultured bacterium
Lineage: Bacteria
Description: partial 16S ribosomal RNA
Rfam family: Bacterial small subunit ribosomal RNA
Source: RNAcentral